RNAcentral lists this ribosomal RNA (253 nucleotides) under uncultured bacterium. RNAcentral describes it as "partial 16S ribosomal RNA". It matches the Rfam family "Bacterial small subunit ribosomal RNA", at positions 524 to 776 of the family's 1533-position model. The record is from RNAcentral.
GACGUAGGGUGCAAGCGUUGUCCGGAUUUACUGGGCGUAAAGAGCGCGUAGGCGGUCUGUUAAGUGAGAAGUGAAAGCCCCGGGCUCAACUCGGGAACUGCGCUUGAUACUGUCGAGCUAGAGUGUGGAAGGGGCGAUUGGAAUUCCGUGUGUAGCGGUGAAAUGCGUAGAUAUACGGAGGAACACCAGAGGCGAAGGCGGAUCGCUGGGCCAACACUGACGCUGAGACGCGAAAGCUAGGGUAGCAAACGGG